GAUUAACGCUAGCGGCAGGCCUAAUACAUGCAAGUCGAACGGCAGCGGGUCCAGCAAUGGAUGCCGGCGAGUGGCGCACGGGUGCGUAACACGUAUGCAAUCUACCCUUAACUGGGGGAUAGCCCCGAGAAAUCGGGAUUAAUACCCCAUAAUAUUAUGAAGUGGCAUCAUUUUAUAAUUAAAGUUCCGACGGUUUUGGAUGAGCAGGCGCGACAUUAGCUAGUUGGCGAGGUAACGGCUCACCAAGGCUGCGAUGUCUAGGGGUUCUGAGAGGAUUCACCCCCACACUGGUACUGAGACACGGACCAGACUCCUACGGGAGGCAGCAGUAAGGAAUAUUGGUCAAUGGACGCAAGUCUGAACCAGCCAUGCCGCGUGAAGGAAGACGGCCCUACGGGUUGUAAACUUCUUUUGUACGGGAAAAAACCACCGGUCGUGAAUCGGUGCUGAUGGUACCGUAAGAAUAAGCAUCGGCUAACUCCGUGCCAGCCGCCGCUGUAA
This 501-nucleotide ribosomal RNA is filed under the name uncultured bacterium. Its description in RNAcentral is "partial 16S ribosomal RNA". It matches the Rfam family "Bacterial small subunit ribosomal RNA", at positions 28 to 523 of the family's 1533-position model. The record is from RNAcentral.